UGGGGAAUUUUGCACAAUGGGCGCAAGCCUGAUGCAGCGACGCCGCGUGAGGGAUGAAGGCCUUCGGGUUGUAAACCUUUUUCGCUCAUGGUCAAGCCGCAGCUUUGGGUUGUGGUGAGGGUAGUGGGUAAAGAAGCGCCGGCUAACUACGUGCCAGCAGCCGCGGUAAUACGUAGGGCGCGAGCGUUGUCCGGAAUUAUUGGGCGUAAAGGGCUUGUAGGCGGUUGGCCGCGUCUGCCGUGAAAUCCUCUGGCUUAACUGGGGGCGUGCGGCGGGUACGGGUUGACUUGAGUGCGGUAGGGGAGACUGGAAUUCCUGGUGUAGCGGUGGAAUGCGCAGAUAUCAGGAGGAACACCGGUGGCGAAGGCGGGUCUCUGGGCCGUUACUGACGCUGAGGAGCGAAAGCGUGGGGAGCGAACAGG
Molecule: ribosomal RNA, 422 nt
Filed under: Verrucomicrobiota bacterium
Lineage: Bacteria; Pseudomonadati; Verrucomicrobiota
Description: Verrucomicrobia bacterium partial 16S ribosomal RNA
Rfam family: Bacterial small subunit ribosomal RNA
Source: RNAcentral